CAGACAGACGGUGGCUAUGAUGAUUGUUAUUCUCCAAAGGCCCUUCUCUAGGACCCACAGCCUCCAGACCCCCCUAGCGUUCCCCUCUGCUGACCAGGCCUCUAGGUUUAGCUUGAUUGGCCCCCAGCCCUGGCCCAUCAGGGAUCCCCCCAGCCCACUGGGCCCUGGGACCCAGCCCACCUGCCCCAGGAUCAAACAGGAGCCCCAACCUGCUUCUUCCUCACACCUUGCAGAUCCGGAUCUGGGCCCGGCCCAGUGCCAUUGCGGUGGGCCACGGCGAUUAUGCCCUGAACGUGACGGGCCCCAUCCUUAACUUCUUUGCUGGUCAUUAUGACACACCCUACCCACUCCCAAAAUCAGACCAGAUUGGCCUGCCGGACUUCAACGCCGGCGCCAUGGAGAACUGGGGACUGGUGACCUACCGGGAGAACUCCCUGCUGUUCGACCCCCUGUCCUCCUCCAGCAGCAACAAGGAGCGGGUGGUCACUGUGAUUGCUCAUGAGCUGGCCCACCAGUGGUUCGGGAACCUGGUG
RNAcentral lists this small RNA (533 nucleotides) under Pan troglodytes (chimpanzee). RNAcentral describes it as "retained intron". The record is from RNAcentral. Lineage: Eukaryota; Metazoa; Chordata; Mammalia; Primates; Hominidae.